UUUACAUUCUGGCAACAUGGCAAGAAAGGAUGGUUUUGCAGAAGCCAGUGUGUCAAAAAUCCUAAGUGGCUGGGAGAUGAAGUGCACAAUCACAGAAAGCAGUCACUGGUAAAGGAAUGUCAGCCACUUACCAAUGAGAUGCCAGACUCCCCUGUCCUUCCUCUGUGACUCUCAGUUCCUGUCUCCCAUCCUCCUGCCCGUCGGCACAGUUCAGACAGAGCAGUUCCUUGGGUCCUUCUCAGCCUGUGGCAGAAGAGAAUUGCGGAGUUUUUAAUCAUUCAGAGGGAAUCCUCCAGCUUGCUCUGCCUCUCCCAGAAGACCGGACCCAGGGUCUCCUGCUAAGUCGCCCAGGCUGUCCUCAAACUUGAGAUUCUCUUUCCUCAGCCUCUGGAGUUGCUGGAAUUACAGAUUGUGACCAUAUCUUCAACUUGUACUGCAGGCUCCUAAAUAUAAGAGCAGUAAAUUGGACAAAUUGCCUUGGGAUUUCCACACUAAUUUAUUUACUGGAAAAAAAAUUAUAAAAAGCAAGCAUUUGAUUGUAUGUAGAUCCAUAAAUAAUGGAAUAUUAUUUUGCCUUGAUGAGGAAGGAGAUUCUGAUACAUGUUACAACAUGUAUAAUAUUUUAAGUGAAAUUGUUCAGGCACAGAAAGACAAAUAUUGUAGUUUUAUGCAUAAUAAUUAUAGAGAAUGUGCAAACUCAUAGAGAUGAAAACUAAAAUAGAGGAUUCCAGGAGCUUGGGGAAGAAGCAAUGGAAGUUGGUAUUUACUGAAUACAGGGAUUCUGUUUGAGAUUAUUUAAAAUGUUCUGGAAGUACUGGUGAAGUUUUUCCUUGUGUAAACGGUAUUUACCCACAGUUGUGAAUGUGGUUAGUGCUAUUGAAUCAAGCUCUUAUCAAUGAUUAAAGUGGCAAAAAUUCUUAUGUAAACUUUUACCACAAAAACCACAUUUUUAUGAAUGCUACUUGGGCAUAUUAGGGAAUAUUACUUAGCAUCAAAACCAAGGUCUAUAAAAUAGAAAUGGUAAUACCUGUAAGGCUGUAAAAAGAUGUAAUAGAUUAUGUGUAUAAUCCUUCCUGUGAGUAGUGAGGUACCUAAGUAUGGUGUGCCAAUUUUGUGUUUAUGUGUUGUACUUAAAGAAGUCAAAGAAAUGUGCACCAGAGUUAACUAUUCCUCAGUGUUUUCUUAGUGUGUCCUGUGAAAGACUAAUUCCAAAAGAAAUGGUUAACUGACAGAGACUACUAAUAAAUACGUGUAGGAAAUGCUGCUUAUUACAUGAAUUUGUUGAUUUUUUAAGGUGGGCAUUGUUUUAUUAAAGCUUGAGAAACUUCCUGCAAUAAAGAAACAUGUUACCCUUGUCAGAGCAACAUGUUUUUGAGCAUGUGGCCAUAGAACCUCAUUUUAUAGUCUUCCUGUAUAAAGAUUCAUUCAGGUACAAUAUCACCAAGGACUUUUCAUCCUACUUGAAUGUACCUUUCUAUCGUAUCUUUUAAAUUAUUUUAGAAAAUUCCAUUUUCAGGAAAAACUACUUAACUCUCAUAGUUUGUUGACAAUUGUUCACACAAAAUAUAGCAAAUUGCCACACAUUUCAUUCCUCCCCCCACCACAAAAAAAUCUGGUUUAAUUUGAUGACAUUAGAGCAUAAAACAAUACAGUCCUGUUUUAUUAUGUUAUAGAGCUUGUUCUACUCUUUAAAAAGAACCAAACAUUUUUUUAAGUUAAAAAAUUAGGUGGAGCAUAUCACAUAUUUAUGGCAGAAAACUAUGUUACUUUCAUUGUCAAAAUAUGACAUUAUGUAUUUAUUAAUACUUAUAGAUUAUAUAAAAGAAACAACUAUAGUCUAACUCUGGAUUUUUAAUUAAUAAUAACGUGUCUAUAUUGGUUGUUCAAUUUUUACAAUUGUACCACAGUAAAUGAAGCUUUAAAAGAUUAAAAAUAGUGUGUGGAUCUGGGCUCUGUGGCACACACCUGUAAUCCCAGGGUCCUGGCAGGAAGAUAGUGAGUUCAGUGCCAGCCCCAGCAAUAAACAGAUGCUGAGCAACUCAGUGAGACCCUUUCUCUAAAUAAAAUACAAAAUAGGGCUAAAGUUGUGGCUCAGUGGUCGAGUGUCCUUAAAUUCAAUCCCCAAUAUGCUCCACCCCCUAAAAUAUUUAUAGACUUAGGGAAGAUCAAGUUGAGGAAGAAGGAAAUUCCAUGCUUUCUAAAUUUUCAGUAAACCAAAAAUUGAUAUAAAAAGAUAAAUUCUAGAAACAGAGUAUUUUGGAAAAGAAAAUAAAAAAUAGAUACAUAUAUGUUAUGUAUACUUAUGUUUCAUAUAUUUCUUUUGAAUGCUUAACAUAUUCUUGUAUUGACACAGGAGAGAGUGUACUUUAAGGAUUUUGGCUAUAUAUUAUUUAAUGCCAUUUACCUGGACAAGUUAGAUGAUCUCAGCAAUUGUAUAUCUAUAAUGUACUUAUACUUUAAUUCUAUUUUUACUACAUUUCCUAAGCAGUCUCAGUGACUACCUUGUCUAUAAAUAUUGAAAUGAAUUUGAUAGUGAGAUUAUUAAAUUUCAUGGUUUUAACUGACCACUAAGAUAAUUAUGAGACAUACUUUUGUCAAUUUUGGAAAUAAACUUUCAAAAGUGGAUGAAAUAAAAAAAUGAAAAAGUGAAGAGAAACAAAAUAUUGCUAAACACAUACACUCAAAUAUAAGCAUACUAUUGCAUUCCUCACAUAAAAACUUUAAAAAUGUAAGCAAUAUGUCAGGUUUCAAACUAGAGAUGAUGAGAGUCUUUAAUUCUUUCUUAAAAAAAUAUUUUCACAAGUUGUCAUAUCUCAAGUCAUUCCUAUAAUGUUUAAGAGUUAGGCAUUUUAUAGAUAUAAUAAAUAUAACUCAGAAUGACUUGAGACAUGGAUCUGCUCAUGCUAUCAAGCAUCAUGGGAUUUACUGUUCAAGAUGACCAUAUAGAUUCCCACAGAAGCAUACACUGAUAGAAGGAUGUGAGUGUAAGCAAUUAAUUUAGGAGGUUAAGGAAAAAGGACAGGGAAUUCUGAAGUUAGACUUUUGGGAGGGGAGGGAACAACAGGAGCUCAUUAUUGAGCUAAUUCUUACGCUGGCCAAAGGAGACUCAGUUGCUAGUGUAGAAUAUACAUUCAAAAUUAUCCCAUCUGUGUAUUGAAAGAACUUGGUUUACCAACUCCCAUCAACUAUUGACUGAGGAAUGAUUUCAGAUAGUCUUGACUCUCUCACACGUUUGGCCAGGAGAACAGGAAGUGAGAGCAUGUUUCAGAAGCUGAAGAAAGUAUUCAGGGAGAGAAAUGCAGAUCCUGAUGGAAGAAUUUUGAACUGAGUAUAGAAAUGAUAGAACAAAGAUAUUUAUUGGACACCAGCCUCAUCUGCUAUUGUUAUUAACAUUUUAUCAGCUAUUCUGCUACCCAAUUAUUAUUGUCAUUGCUUUUCUAUUAAUACUAUAGUUUAAAUUAUAUGUCAUAGAAUGUUGGCUGAAGAGAGGACUAUUCAUAUGUUAGGAAAUGAAUAGCAGUAUCAGGAAACAGCACACAUAAAAACAAUUUAAAAAAUUUUCUGAAACACUUAAGAUGUUUAGCAAUUCUACUUGUGUUUAUUAAUAUUUUCUUAUUACUGUGUGUAUAUAUGUGACUGCAUGACCAAUGUGAUUCUGCAACCUGUAUACUCAGAAAAAUGAGAAAUUAUAUU
Marmota monax (woodchuck) is the source of this 3693-nucleotide long non-coding RNA. RefSeq lists it as uncharacterized. The transcript has 3 exons. The record is from RefSeq and is a predicted model, not a curated record. Lineage: Eukaryota; Metazoa; Chordata; Mammalia; Rodentia; Sciuridae.